This 465-nucleotide ribosomal RNA is filed under the name uncultured bacterium. RNAcentral describes it as "partial 16S ribosomal RNA". It matches the Rfam family "Bacterial small subunit ribosomal RNA", at positions 28 to 507 of the family's 1533-position model. The record is from RNAcentral.
GACGAACGCUGGCGGCGUGCUUAACACAUGCAAGUCGAACGGAAAGGCCCUGCUUGCGGGGUACUCGAGUGGCGAACGGGUGAGUAACACGUGGGUGAUCUGCCCUGCACUUCGGGAUAAGCCUGGUAAACUGGGUCUAAUACCGGAUAGGAGCCAUUUUUAGUGUGAUGGUUGGAAAGUUUUUUCGGUGUAGGAUGAGCUCGCGGCCUAUCAGCUUGUUGGUGGGGUAAUGGCCUACCAAGGCGGCGACGGGUAGCCGGCCUGAGAGGGUGGACGGCCACAUUGGGACUGAGAGACGGCCCAGACUCCUACGGGAGGCAGCAGUGGGGAAUAUUGCACAAUGGGCGCAAGCCUGAUGCAGCGGCGCCGCGUGGGGGAUGACGGCCUUCGGGUUGUAAACUCAUUUCGCUAGGGACGAAGCUUUUUGUGACGGUACCUAGAUAAGAAGCACCGGCUAACUACGUG